UACCAGCUCUUCGGGUGGUGUGGAUGUUUAUUGGGCCUAAAGCAUCCGUAGCUGGCUGGGCAAGUCCCCUGUUAAAUCCACCGAUUUAAUCGUUGGAGUGCGGGGGAUACUGUUCGGCUAGGGGACGGGAGAGGCAGACGGUAUUUUCGGGGUAGGGGUGAAAUCCUAUAAUCCCGAGAAGACCACCAGUGGCGAAGGCUGUCUGCUAGAACGCGCCCGACGGUGAGGGAUGAAAGCUGGGGGAGCGAACCGGAUUAGAUACCCGGGUAGUCCCAGCUGUAAACGAUGCAGGCUAGGUGUUUGGACGGCCACGUGCCGUUCUAGUGCCGCAGGGAAGCCGUUAAGCCUGCCGCCUGGGGAGUACGGCCGCAAGGCUGAAACUUAAAGGAAUUGGCGGGGGAGCACCACAAGGGGUGAAGCUUGCGGUUU
Molecule: ribosomal RNA, 429 nt
Filed under: uncultured archaeon
Lineage: Archaea
Description: bacterial SSU rRNA
Rfam family: Archaeal small subunit ribosomal RNA
Source: RNAcentral